UUUCGCAAUGCCCGAAAGGGUGACGAAGCGACGCCGCGUGAGUGAGGAAGGCCUUCGGGUUGUAAAGCUCUGUCAGGAGUUAAGAAAUAUAAGUGUGCUAAUACCACAUUUAUUUGACAAAAGCUCCAAAGGAAGCCACGGCUAACUCUGUGCCAGCAGCCGCGGUAACACAGAGGUGGCAAGCGUUGUUCGGAAUUAUUGGGCGUAAAGAGCACGUAGGUGGGUUUGUAAGUCAGAUGUGAAAGCCUUCUGUUCAACGGAAGAAUUGCAUCUGAAACUGCGAGUCUUGAGUGUAGGAGGGGAGAAUGGAACUUCUGGUGGAGCGGUGAAAUGCGUAGAUAUCAGAAGGAACGCCGGCGGCGAAAGCGAUUCUCUGGCCUAUUACUGACACUCAGUGUGCGAAAGCUAGGGGAGCAAACGGGAUUAGAUACCCCGGUAGUCCUAGCUGUAAACGAUGGGCACUAAGUAGAGGGGUUUUA
Molecule: ribosomal RNA, 479 nt
Filed under: uncultured anaerobic ammonium-oxidizing bacterium
Lineage: Bacteria
Description: bacterial SSU rRNA
Rfam family: Bacterial small subunit ribosomal RNA
Source: RNAcentral